UACAGAGGUCCCAAGCGUUGUUCGGAUUUACUGGGCGUAAAGGGUGCGUAGGUGGUGAGGUAAGUCUGAUGUGAAAUCUCCGAGCUCAACUCGGAAAUGGCAUUGGAAACUACCUUGCUAGAGGGUUGGAGGGGGGACUGGAAUACUUGGUGUAGCGGUGGAAUGCGUAGAGAUCCGGAGGAAGACCGGUGGCGAAGGCAGAUCACUAAUAAUUUACUGACGCUGAUGGACGAAAGCGUAGGUAGCGAACAGG
Molecule: ribosomal RNA, 253 nt
Filed under: uncultured bacterium
Lineage: Bacteria
Description: partial 16S ribosomal RNA
Rfam family: Bacterial small subunit ribosomal RNA
Source: RNAcentral